Molecule: ribosomal RNA, 442 nt
Filed under: uncultured bacterium
Lineage: Bacteria
Description: partial 16S ribosomal RNA
Rfam family: Bacterial small subunit ribosomal RNA
Source: RNAcentral
CCUACGGGAGGCAGCAGUGGGGAAUAUUGGGCAAUGGGCGCAAGCCUGACCCAGCAACGCCGCGUGAAGGAAGAAGGCUUUCGGGUUGUAAACUUCCUUUAAGAGGGAAGAGCAGAAGACGGUACCUCUUGAAUAAGCCACGGCUAACUACGUGCCAGCGGCCGCGGUGAUACGGAGGUGGCAAGCGUUGUCCGGAUUUACUGGGUGUUAAGGGCGUGUAGCCGGGCUGAGAAGUCAGGUGUGACAUUCCGGGGCUCAACCCCGGACCUGCCUUUGAAACUGUUGGUCUUGAGUAUCGGAGAGGCAGGCGGAAUUCGUGGUGUAGCGGUGAAAUGCGUAGAUAUUAGGAGGAACACCAGUGGCGAAGGCGGCCUGCUGGACGACAACUGACGGUGAGGCGCGAAAGCGUGGGGAGCAAACAGGAUUAGAUACCCGAGUAGUC